Molecule: unclassified non-coding RNA, 148 nt
Organism: Papio anubis (olive baboon)
Lineage: Eukaryota; Metazoa; Chordata; Mammalia; Primates; Cercopithecidae
Rfam family: Metazoan signal recognition particle RNA
About the family: The signal recognition particle (SRP) is a universally conserved ribonucleoprotein. It is involved in the co-translational targeting of proteins to membranes.
Source: Ensembl
GCCGGGUGUGGUGGCGUGCACCUGUAAUCCCAGCUACUUGGGAGGCUGAGGUAGGAGAAUUGCUUGAAUCCAGGAGAUGGAGGUUGCAGUGAGCCAACUUCGUGCCACUGCACUCCAGCCUGGGUAACAGAGCAAGACUCCAUCUCGG